AGCGUUGUCCGGAUUUAUUGGGCGUAAAGCGAGCGCAGGCGGAAAAAUAAGUCUAAUGUGAAAGCCCUCGGCUUAACCGAGGAACUGCAUCGGAAACUGUUUUUCUUGAGUGCAGAAGAGGAGAGUGGAACUCCAUGUGUAGCGGUGGAAUGCGUAGAUAUAUGGAAGAACACCAGUGGCGAAGGCGGCUCUCUGGUCUGCAACUGACGCUGAGGCUCGAAAGCAUGGGUAGCGAACAGGAUUAGAUACCCUGGUAGUCCAUGCCGUAAACGAUGAGUGCUAAGUGUUGGGAGGUUUCCGCCUCUCAGUGCUGCAGCUAACGCAUUAAGCACUCCGCCUGGGGAGUACGACCGCAAGGUUGAAACUCAAAGGAAUUGACGGGGGCCCGCACAAGCGGUGGAGCAUGUGGUUUAAUUCGAAGCAACGCGAAGAACCUUACCAGGUCUUGACAUCUAGUGCAAUCUGUAGAGAUACGGAGUUCCCUUCGGGGACGCUAAGACAGGUGGUGCAUGGCUGUCGUCAGCUCGUGUCGUGAGAUGUUGGGUUAAGUCCCGCAACGAGCGCAACCCUUGUUAUUAGUUGCCAGCAUUAAGUUGGGCACUCUAAUGAGACUGCCGGUGACAAACCGGAGGAAGGUGGGGAUGACGUCAAGUCAUCAUGCCCCUUAUGACCUGGGCUACACACGUGCUACAAUGGGCAGUACAACGAGAAGCAAGCCUGCGAAGGCAAGCGAAUCUCUGAAAGCUGUUCUCAGUUCGGACUGCAGUCUGCAACUCGACUGCACGAAGCUGGAAUCGCUAGUAAUCGCGGAUCAGCACGCCGCGG
RNAcentral lists this ribosomal RNA (825 nucleotides) under uncultured Bacillota bacterium. Its description in RNAcentral is "bacterial SSU rRNA". It matches the Rfam family "Bacterial small subunit ribosomal RNA", at positions 537 to 1362 of the family's 1533-position model. Lineage: Bacteria; Bacillati; Bacillota. The record is from RNAcentral.